CGGCCGCUGCCGGUGCCCGCACGGCUGGGAGGGAGCGAGGGCGGGCGGCCUCUGUGCCGUUCGUCGGGGACGGGGAGGAGGGAGGUGCGGGCGGAAUGGCGCCUUCGCCUCAGGAGGAAUAUUGCACAUAUCCAUGGAAUAACUGAUGCAGGUGACACACGGACUAUUGCAGAUACUCAGAAAAAUGUUAAGAUACGGCAACAUUUGAUUUACCACCACUUACACAGAGAGUUCAAACCUUCACAUUCGCCUGGAUUGAACCAACCCACGUGGCAGGGAACAGGCACCGUCCCUGCCCCCAUCUCACCCCACGGAUGAUGCCGGUCACACACCGACUCACGAGGCUGCACCACGCCAGGACAACCCAAACCCCACAGUGGCAGUUUGGUGGUUGAUCCCUGGAGGGGACAAACCCUCUCUUUGGUGUCAGGAGCUCCUCUGCCCACCCUGGGCAUCGGGAAGGGGCAGCUGCCGGCAGCCCCCAGCAUCCUCCUCGCCUUGUCCUUCCCAGGGAACUGAGCCCUUUUUGGCUCCACUCAUCCUUUGGAUGUUCUCCUGUGGCUGGAAAUGCGCUGGAAGAGCUGGGAGCAGCUCAGUAGCCUCUCAGGGGGUUCUGGAAGUACUGUCUCAGGGUUUGUUUGCCCGUGGGCGCUCCUACGGCAGGGUGGGCUUUGGGACUAGAUGUUGACAUCCAGGUUGCCACCCCCCAGGGGUGUGUUAUGGUGCUUAUGCUGGCACGUGCCAUAAAUCAUCCUGCUGGGAAUCAGCACAGUGACAAGGCAGGAAGGUGCCCUGGCUCCAAUGCUGGCAGCUGAGCACUCCAUCUCUA
Molecule: long non-coding RNA, 829 nt
Organism: Manacus vitellinus (golden-collared manakin)
Lineage: Eukaryota; Metazoa; Chordata; Aves; Passeriformes; Pipridae
Exons: 3
Source: RefSeq, a predicted model, not a curated record